UUCAAGCCGAUUGGAGAGAGGCUGCCCCGAGCAGCCCACCGAAGGGGCAAGUGGCCGCAAGCCAUGCAACUCUCAGGUAAAAGGACAAGGGGAGAGGC
This is a non-coding RNA of Chromobacterium aquaticum, 98 nucleotides long. Lineage: Bacteria; Pseudomonadati; Pseudomonadota; Betaproteobacteria; Neisseriales; Chromobacteriaceae. The record is from Rfam.